Molecule: unclassified non-coding RNA, 332 nt
Filed under: Hevea brasiliensis (rubber tree)
Lineage: Eukaryota; Viridiplantae; Streptophyta; Magnoliopsida; Malpighiales; Euphorbiaceae
Source: RNAcentral
GGGCGAGGUGAGAGAGGGUAAAGAGAGGAGUGUGGCAAGGUGCAAACAGGAACAUGCAAAAGGAAGGGAAGCAAGGUCGUGGGAGGAGAACAAAGAGGGAGAUGUGGAUAGAGAAGGAAAGGCUCAGGCUUUGGCUUAGGGCUAUGAAGGUGGGUCUGUGGAACAAAACGAACAAAGUUAAGUAAAAUGUUGUGUGCUUGUGGAGAGAGAGAGAGGAGAUGAUGAAGGAAACGAGCAGGCCCAAUUCUCUUUCAUCUCCUUCGUUUCACAUUUUCGAUUCUGGUUUUUGCGUUUUUGUACUUUGUGUUAAUUUAGUUCUCUUUUUUUUAAUA